AUGCCAAGCCACAAAUUCGCCUGCCCGAAGGGCGUUCUCCACGCCCGGAUCAAUGACGUUCGCCAGGCGGUCACCAUCAAGUCGAUUCAUGAGUUGUUCCGUCGCUCCGGUGAUGGGUAUGUGAUCUGCGCUUACGAGCGGGUGGUGGACAGGAUGUACGGCAUGGAGGCGUACAUCGAGUUUCGGUCUCGAUGGACGGAGGCCCAAGCUCGAGAUGCCCUGGAUGGCCAUGCUAUCUAUGAUGGCUGCUGCAUCCUUGUCGUCGACCUCGUCCCGCCGUUCUACACCACCAUCACCAUGCCGGAUGACGGCGGGAUGGCACCUUUGUACUUCUAUGAUGACACUCCCUACGCGGAGUGGGCUGCAGCGUUGGCCGCGGGCAGGUGCCAUGAUGAGGCGCCUACUACAUCCAGCGACGACCUCCAACUCAAGGCGUCCAUGGGCUCCAUCAGCUCGACUCCGUCCGAGCUCGCCGCGCCUACAGCACCAACUUCGUCCACGACUGCCGACAACGCCCUCCUGGAGCUCAGUGUGAGUGACAAGGUGCUCGAAGUCGACGCUGCUAUGAUACCCACCACCUGUUCGACGGGGUGCCCAAGUUGCAACAAGCCCUAG
Molecule: ribosomal RNA, 615 nt
Filed under: Triticum aestivum (bread wheat)
Lineage: Eukaryota; Viridiplantae; Streptophyta; Magnoliopsida; Poales; Poaceae
Description: partial small subunit ribosomal RNA
Source: RNAcentral